RNAcentral lists this ribosomal RNA (289 nucleotides) under uncultured bacterium. RNAcentral's name for it is "partial 16S ribosomal RNA". It matches the Rfam family "Bacterial small subunit ribosomal RNA", at positions 355 to 637 of the family's 1533-position model. The record is from RNAcentral.
UAGGGAAUCUUCCACAAUGGACGCAAGUCUGAUGGAGCAACGCCGCGUGAGUGAAGAAGGUUUUCGGACCGUAAAGCUCUGUUGUUGGUGAAGAAGGAUAGAGGUAGUAACUGGCCUUUAUUUGACGGUAAUCAACCAGAAAGUCACGGCUAACUACGUGCCAGCAGCCGCGGUAAUACGUAGGUGGCAAGCGUUGUCCGGAUUUAUUGGGCGUAAAGCGAGCGCAGGCGGAAGAAUAAGUCUGAUGUGAAAGCCCUCGGCUUAACCGAGGAAUGCAUCGAACGAUGUU